UUGGUCCUGAUUCAAGGCCAGCAGUUUGCUGAAGCUGUUGGUUUCAAGCAGGAGACUAAAUAAUUGUCUUUUCAUGGUCUGUUGGACAUCUUAUAACUUUGGAAAUGUAAUGUCCAAUUCAUUAGAAAUAAACAUCU
This is a small nucleolar RNA of Pan paniscus (pygmy chimpanzee), 137 nucleotides long. The record is from Ensembl. NCBI's taxonomy places the organism in Eukaryota, Metazoa, Chordata, Mammalia, Primates, Hominidae.